AUUGAACGCUGGCGGCAGGCUUAACACAUGCAAGUCGAGCGGAGAGAGGUAGCUUGCUACUGAUCUUAGCGGCGGACGGGUGAGUAAUGCUUAGGAAUCUGCCUAUUAGUGGGGGACAACAUUUCGAAAGGAAUGCUAAUACCGCAUACGUCCUACGGGAGAAAGCAGGGGAUCUUCGGACCUUGCGCUAAUAGAUGAGCCUAAGUCGGAUUAGCUAGUUGGUGGGGUAAGGGCCUACCAAGGCGACGAGCUGUAGCGGGUCUGAGAGGAUGUACCGCCACACUGGGACUGAGACACGGCCCAGACUCCUACGGGAGCCAGCAUUGGGGAUUAUUGGACAAUGGGCGCAAGACUGAUCCAGCCAUGCCGCGUGUGUGAAGAAGGCCUUAUGGUUGGAAAGCACUUUAAGCGAGGAGGAGGCUACUUUAGUUAAUACCUAGGGAUAGUGGACGUUACUCGCAGAAUAAGCACCGGCUAACUCUGUGCCAGCAGCCGCCGUAA
This 501-nucleotide ribosomal RNA is filed under the name uncultured bacterium. Its description in RNAcentral is "partial 16S ribosomal RNA". It matches the Rfam family "Bacterial small subunit ribosomal RNA", at positions 30 to 523 of the family's 1533-position model. The record is from RNAcentral.